Molecule: small RNA, 93 nt
Filed under: Oceanospirillales bacterium LUC14_002_19_P2
Lineage: Bacteria; Pseudomonadati; Pseudomonadota; Gammaproteobacteria; Oceanospirillales
Description: t44 RNA
Rfam family: t44 RNA
About the family: This family consists of a number of bacterial RNA genes of between 135 and 170 bases in length.
Source: Rfam by way of RNAcentral
AUUCUUAUGACUUAAAACCACACAUGCACCGACACAUGGUUUCUGGGUGCCCGCUUAAAAAGGGUCGAAUCAUGGGGUGUAUGGAGGCAUAAC